CAACAUAUAGCUUAAAUAAAGCAUCUCGCUUACACCGAGAAGAUAUCUGUGAGACCCAGAUUAUUUUGA
Molecule: transfer RNA, 69 nt
Filed under: Dendropsophus araguaya
Lineage: Eukaryota; Metazoa; Chordata; Amphibia; Anura; Hylidae
Description: tRNA-Val
Rfam family: tRNA
About the family: Transfer RNA (tRNA) molecules are approximately 80 nucleotides in length. Their secondary structure includes four short double-helical elements and three loops (D, anti-codon, and T loops).
Source: RNAcentral